This 328-nucleotide unclassified non-coding RNA is filed under the name soil metagenome. RNAcentral describes it as "partial contains 5.8S ribosomal RNA, internal transcribed spacer 2, and large subunit ribosomal RNA". The stretch from base 1 to 120 matches the Rfam family "5.8S ribosomal RNA", at positions 35 to 154 of the family's 154-position model. The record is from RNAcentral.
GAUGAAGAACGUAGCGAAAUGCGAUAAGUAAUGUGAAUUGCAGAAUUCAGUGAAUCAUCGAAUCUUUGAACGCACAUUGCGCCCCCUGGCAUUCCGGGGGGCAUGCCUGUUCGAGCGUCAUUAUAACCACUCAAGCUCUCGCUUGGUAUUGGGGUUCGCGGUCUCGCGGCCCCUAAAAUCAGUGGCGGUGCCUGUCGGCUCUACGCGUAGUAAUACUCCUCGCGAUUGAGUCCGGUAGGUGACUUGCCAGCAACCCCCAAAUUUUUCAGGUUGACCUCGGAUCAGGUAGGGAUACCCGCUGAACUUAAGCAUAUCAAUAAGCGGAGGA